AGCUAGUUCAAGGCCAGUCAUUAAUCCAAGAAGGAAUAUUGUAUGCAAAGAAGGAUGUUAACUGACGCAAAGAAGGAAUUUGAAGUACAAAAACGCUGGAAUAGCCCAGCUGGUUAGAUCGUGUGGCUGUUAACCACAAGAAGGAACGAACCUCCAUCUAGCAUUUCCUGCAAUUUCCAUGGCUGCCACACCUGAUCAUUUGUUAACACCCAAGAGAGUCUGUGCACAUCAAGAUAAUGAUUCUGUUGAUUCACCACCAAAAAAGUUACUCAAGCUGCAGACAGCACCCACUAAGAAUUCCACCGACAGCUGAUCUAAGAUUAACACUAGUAAUGUUAUCCGCCGACAGCAAAUUAUGUUACAAAAAUCUCAUUCUCUGCAACCUCUCCUUAUAUUACUGUUGGUUUGUGGAACUUGUCCACUGCACUCUAAAAUAUACAGCCUAGUCAAUUUAUGGUUCGUGAUUUAUCAAAACAGUUGAAAGAAUGAGCCAAGUUGGCCAUAGACGGACACAGUCACACAGGUAGUAUUAGAAGUAAUUAUUGUUCUUCACAGUCACACAGGUAGUAUUAGUAGUAGUUAUUGUUCUUCAAAUUUCACAUUUGACGUUUAUUCUGACGAUUGUUUGAAUCCAGUGUUCAGAUAAAAGAAACCAUGUUUGUAAAGUAAUGUUGCUAAGAUAUGAACAUUCUGAAAA
This is a long non-coding RNA of Papaver somniferum (opium poppy), 697 nucleotides long. RefSeq lists it as uncharacterized. Lineage: Eukaryota; Viridiplantae; Streptophyta; Magnoliopsida; Ranunculales; Papaveraceae. The transcript has 3 exons. The record is from RefSeq and is a predicted model, not a curated record.